This 433-nucleotide ribosomal RNA is filed under the name uncultured bacterium. RNAcentral describes it as "partial 16S ribosomal RNA". It matches the Rfam family "Bacterial small subunit ribosomal RNA", at positions 89 to 521 of the family's 1533-position model. The record is from RNAcentral.
UUGAGACCGGCGCACGGGUGCGUAACGCGUAUGCAAUCUACCUUGUACAGGGGGAUAGCCCAGAGAAAUUUGGAUUAAUACCCCAUNGUAUAUUNNNGNGGNNUCAUUUGNNUAUUAAAGUUCCAACGGUACAAGAUGAGCAUGCGUCCCAUUAGCUAGUUGGUNUGGUAACGGCANACCAAGGCAUAUGAUGGGUAGGGGUCCUGAGAGGGAGAUCCCCCACACUGGUACUGAGACACGGACCAGACUCCUACGGGAGGCAGCAGUGAGGAAUAUUGGUCAAUGGGCGCAAGCCUGAACCAGCCAUGCCGCGUGCAGGAUGACGCAUCUAUGGUGUGUAAACUGCUUUUGUACGGGAAGAAACCCCUNCGUGGUGAGAGUUGACGGUACCGUAAGAAUAAGGAUCGGCUAACUCCGUGCCAGCAGCCGCGGU